GUUUGUAUGUGUAUGGAUGUUGUUCAGCACCAGAGACAGGUUUCUAUGUGUGUGGAUGGUGUUCAGCAACAAGGAUAGGCACAUUUGUAU
RNAcentral lists this microRNA precursor (90 nucleotides) under Branchiostoma floridae (Florida lancelet). RNAcentral describes it as "mir-2060 microRNA precursor family". It matches the Rfam family "mir-2060 microRNA precursor family". The record is from Rfam by way of RNAcentral. Lineage: Eukaryota; Metazoa; Chordata; Leptocardii; Amphioxiformes; Branchiostomatidae.